AUACGUAGGGUGCAAGCGUUAAUCGGAAUUACUGGGCGUAAAGCGUGCGCAGGCGGUUUUGUAAGACAGAGGUGAAAUCCCCGGGCUCAACCUGGGAACUGCCUUUGUGACUGCAAGGCUAGAGUGCGGCAGAGGGGGAUGGAAUUCCGCGUGUAGCAGUGAAAUGCGUAGAUAUGCGGAGGAACACCGAUGGCGAAGGCAAUCCCCUGGGCCUGUACUGACGCUCAUGCACGAAAGCGUGGGGAGCAAACAGGAUUAGAUACCCUGGUAGUCCACGCCCUAAACGAUGUCAACUGGUUGUUGGGUCUUCAUUGACUCAGUAACGAAGCUAACGCGUGAAGUUGACCGCCUGGGGAGUACGGCCGCAAGGUUGAAACUCAAAUGAAUUGACGGGG
RNAcentral lists this ribosomal RNA (395 nucleotides) under uncultured bacterium. Its description in RNAcentral is "partial 16S ribosomal RNA". It matches the Rfam family "Bacterial small subunit ribosomal RNA", at positions 523 to 918 of the family's 1533-position model. The record is from RNAcentral.